This 165-nucleotide ribosomal RNA is filed under the name uncultured bacterium. Its description in RNAcentral is "partial 16S rRNA". It matches the Rfam family "Bacterial small subunit ribosomal RNA", at positions 355 to 511 of the family's 1533-position model. The record is from RNAcentral.
UAGGGAAUCUUCGGCAAUGGACGAAAGUCUGACCGAGCAACGCCGCGUGAGUGAAGAAGGUUUUCGGAUCGUAAAGCUCUGUUGUAAGAGAAGAACGUGUGUGAGAGUGGAAAGUUCACACAGUGACGGUAACUUACCAGAAAGGGACGGCUAACUACGUGCCAG